This 254-nucleotide ribosomal RNA is filed under the name uncultured bacterium. RNAcentral's name for it is "partial 16S ribosomal RNA". It matches the Rfam family "Bacterial small subunit ribosomal RNA", at positions 524 to 776 of the family's 1533-position model. The record is from RNAcentral.
UACGAAGGGGGGCUAGCGUUGCUCGGAAUUACUGGGCGUAAAGGGCGCGUAGGCGGGUCGUUUAGUUAGAGGUGAAAGCCCAGGGCUCAACCCUGGAAUUGCCUUUAAUACUGGCGGCCUUGAGUAUGGCAGAGGUGUGUGGAACUCCGAGUGUAGAGGUGAAAUUCGUAGAUAUUCGGAAGAACACCAGUGGCGAAGGCGACACACUGGGCCAUUACUGACGCUGAGGCGCGAAAGCGUGGGGAGCAAACAGG